AUGAUCAGGUGUUCGGCCCCCCUUCCUGAGGGCUUGGACAAUCCGGUGCUGGAAAAGAUGCUUGAGCCAGCACCUUAUCUAGUGCCCUCAAAGGAAUAUGAAGGGGGGAAUAAAGAGGGCGAAAGCGGGCCUCACUCGCUACUUAUUCCAACUGAGGGAAUGAGCGCCUCUGCGAGGGAGGAUAACCAAGGGGAAGAAUCCGACAAUCUCUCUCCCCGGGGAAGGAAGAGGACUACCUCUGAAGAUCCGAAAACUAAGGUUUCCAAAUGGGAGAAGAAAUCUUCGUCAGAGGGUCCUGCCUCGGAGGGUAUUCUUGCCGCACAAUGUCCGCGCGGGGUUCAGCCCUAUACCGAGCUUCCGGAUCGCAGCCCUUCUCGACAGAGUUCAUCUUCGAGGGAUCUCCUUCCGAAGAUGAUGGAGAGCGAAAUGCCUCCCCCUGACACCCCGCCUCCGGAGGUGGGCGACCCUGAAGUGUCGUCGCGGAGGAUAUCUCCGAAUCCGCCAAGGCCAGGGGAUAACCCUUUGGCUACCUGA
This 534-nucleotide ribosomal RNA is filed under the name Triticum aestivum (bread wheat). RNAcentral's name for it is "partial small subunit ribosomal RNA". The record is from RNAcentral. Lineage: Eukaryota; Viridiplantae; Streptophyta; Magnoliopsida; Poales; Poaceae.